GAAGGUGUGCUGUGAGGCAUGCUGGAGGUAUCAGAAGUGCGAAUGCUGACAUAAGUAACGAUAAAGCGGGUGAAAAGCCCGCUCGCCGGAAGACCAAGGGUUCCUGUCCAACGUUAAUCGGGGCAGGGUGAGUCGACCCCUAAGGCGAGGCCGAAAGGCGUAGUCGAUGGGAAACAGGUUAAUAUUCCUGUACUUGGUGUUACUGCGAAGGGGGGACGGAGAAGGCUAUGUUGGCCGGGCGACGGUUGUCCCGGUUUAAGCGUGUAGGCUGGUUUUCCAGGCAAAUCCGGAAAAUCAAGGCUGAGGCGUGAUGACGAGGCACUACGGUGCUGAAGCAACAAAUGCCCUGCUUCCAGGAAAAGCCUCUAAGCAUCAGGUAACAUCAAAUCGUACCCCAAACCGACACAGGUGGUCAGGUAGAGAAUACCAAGGCGCUUGAGAGAACUCGGGUGAAGGAACUAGGCAAAAUGGUGCCGUAACUUCGGGAGAAGGCACGCUGAUAUGUAGGUGAAGUCCCUCGCGGAUGGAGCUGAAAUCAGUCGAAGAUACCAGCUGGCUGCAACUGUUUAUUAAAAACACAGCACUGUGCAAACACGAAAGUGGACGUAUACGGUGUGACGCCUGCCCGGUGCCGGAAGGUUAAUUGAUGGGGUUAGCCGCAAGGCGAAGCUCUUGAUCGAAGCCCCGGUAAACGGCGGCCGUAACUAUAACGGUCCUAAGGUAGCGAAAUUCCUUGUCGGGUAAGUUCCGACCUGCACGAAUGGCGUAAUGAUGGCCAGGCUGUCUCCACCCGAGACUCAGUGAAAUUGAACUCGCUGUGAAGAUGCAGUGUACCCGCGGCAAGACGGAAAGACCCCGUGAACCUUUACUAUAGCUUGACACUGAACAUUGAGCCUUGAUGUGUAGGAUAGGUGGGAGGCUUNGAAGUGUGGACGCCAGUCUGCAUGGAGCCGACCUUGAAAUACCACCCUUUAAUGUUUGAUGUUCUAACGUUGACCCGUAAUCCGGGUUGCGGACAGUGUCUGGUGGGUAGUUUGACUGGGGCGGUCUCCUCCUAAAGAGUAACGGAGGAGCACGAAGGUUGGCUAAUCCUGGUCGGACAUCAGGAGGUUAGUGCAAUGGCAUAAGCCAGCUUGACUGCGAGCGUGACGGCGCGAGCAGGUGCGAAAGCAGGUCAUAGUGAUCCGGUGGUUCUGAAUGGAAGGGCCAUCGCUCAACGGAUAAAAGGUACUCCGGGGAUAACAGGCUGAUACCGCCCAAGAGUUCAUAUCGACGGCGGUGUUUGGCACCUCGAUGUCGGCUCAUCACAUCCUGGGGCUGAAGUAGGUCCCAAGGGUAUGGCUGUUCGCCAUUUAAAGUGGUACGCGAGCUGGGUUUAGAACGUCGUGAGACAGUUCGGUCCCUAUCUGCCGUGGGCGCUGGAGAACUGAGGGGGGCUGCUCCUAGUACGAGAGGACCGGAGUGGACGCAUCACUGGUGUUCGGGUUGUCAUGCCAAUGGCACUGCCCGGUAGCUAAAUGCGGAAGAGAUAAGUGCUGAAAGCAUCUAAGCACGAAACUUGCCCCGAGAUGAGUUCUCCCUGACUCCUUGAGAGUCCUGAAGGAACGUUGAAGACGACGACGUUGAUAGGCCGGAUGUGUAAGCGCAGCGAUGCGUUGAGCUAACCGGUACUAAUGAACCGUGAGGCUUAACCUU
RNAcentral lists this ribosomal RNA (1695 nucleotides) under Escherichia coli. Its description in RNAcentral is "bacterial LSU rRNA". It matches the Rfam family "Bacterial large subunit ribosomal RNA", at positions 1252 to 2925 of the family's 2925-position model. The record is from RNAcentral. Lineage: Bacteria; Pseudomonadati; Pseudomonadota; Gammaproteobacteria; Enterobacterales; Enterobacteriaceae.